UGAGGAAUAUUGGUCAAUGGGCGAGAGCCUGAACCAGCCAAGUAGCGUGCAGGAAGACGGCCCUAUGGGUUGUAAACUGCUUUUGUAUGGGGAUAAAGUCAAUCACGUGUGAUUGUUUGCAGGUACCAUACGAAUAAGGACCGGCUAAUUCCGUGCCAGCAGCCGCGGUAAUACGGAAGGUCCGGGCGUUAUCCGGAUUUAUUGGGUUUAAAGGGAGCGUAGGCUGGAGAUUAAGUGUGUUGUGAAAUGUAGACGCUCAACGUCUGACUUGCAGCGCAUACUGGUUUCCUUGAGUACGCACAACGUUGGCGGAAUUCGUCGUGUAGCGGUGAAAUGCUUAGAUAUGACGAAGAACUCCGAUUGCGAAGGCAGCUGACGGGAGCGCAACUGACGCUGAAGCUCGAAGGUGCGGGUAUCGAACAGGAUUAGAUACCCUGGUAGUCCGCACAGUAAACGAUGGAUGCCCGCUGUUGGUACCUGGUAUCAGCGGCUAAGCGAAAGCAUUAAGCAUCCCACCUGGGGAGUACGCCGGCNACGGUG
This 540-nucleotide ribosomal RNA is filed under the name uncultured bacterium. Its description in RNAcentral is "bacterial SSU rRNA". It matches the Rfam family "Bacterial small subunit ribosomal RNA", at positions 355 to 896 of the family's 1533-position model. The record is from RNAcentral.